CAUUUUGAAAAUUUGAGAAAACAAAAACAUUCUCCAACGAGUUCUUCAGCUCGGGGAAUGAGAGAAUAGAUUCACCUUUGUGUCGCUUUUCAGAUCGUAUUUUAAUUCCUUUCCGGUACUUUAGUUUCUUUGAACUUCUCUGUUACUCACUAAGCAUACAGUAUUGAAUUUUUAAAAUAAAGAAAUCCGUGAUUUUACUUGCAGGCAUGACUGAUAAAUGGAAUUAUUUUACUUUUAUAUAGAAUAUGGAUGGCACUCCAGUACGGCAUGUGCAUGGUUGGACCUGUUGACAUUUUUAGAAACGCAUCUUGGUCUAUUAUACAGAGUAUUGUUGUACUGCUCCAAAGUGCUUGUUGACAGACUGAAACCACUUGCUUGCAGCUCAUAAGGUUUACUUCUUGAGAGCAGGCAGCUACAAAAUGAAAGGUCAACAAAUCCAGUAUACUUGAAAAGCAAGAAAGAAACACCAGAAAAUAUGAAAAGACAGAAAUACAAGGGAACUUUAAUAAAAAAAAAAACUUUUAAGGAUAGGAAUUCAGGAUUUACUUGGAAACUAAAUUUAUUUUGAGAGCAGCAGUGAUUGACUAAGAUCUGUUACUUUAAGAGAUAAUGUAUUAUCACAUUGGUUUUGUUAUUGUCGAGCCCGCUUGCAGAAGCGAAGACAUAGUUGUCCAAAUGUCUGUUCGGUGUAUGUGCGUGUGUGCGUCCGUCCGGAUUUGUUUGUCCAGACCAUAACUUGGACAUGCAUGGAGCAAUCUUGUUUAUAUUUGGUAUGAAUGUUAACCUCAGUGAGACGGAGUGUCAUGCACAAACCCCAGGUUCCUAUAUCAAAGGCCAAGGUCACACUUACAGGUCAAAGGUCAAAUUCAAAAAUGACUUUGUCUGGAGCAUUUCUUCUUCAUGCAUGGAGGGAUUUUGAUGCAACUUGGCACAAUUGUUCACCAUCAUGAGGUGGAGUGUGAUGCGCAAGAACCAG
This is a long non-coding RNA of Mercenaria mercenaria, 976 nucleotides long. RefSeq lists it as uncharacterized. NCBI's taxonomy places the organism in Eukaryota, Metazoa, Mollusca, Bivalvia, Venerida, Veneridae. The transcript is spliced from 3 exons. The record is from RefSeq and is a predicted model, not a curated record.